Molecule: ribosomal RNA, 467 nt
Filed under: uncultured bacterium
Lineage: Bacteria
Description: partial 16S ribosomal RNA
Rfam family: Bacterial small subunit ribosomal RNA
Source: RNAcentral
GAUGAACGCUGGCGGCGUGCUUAACACAUGCAAGUCGAACGGAAAGGCCCAAGCUUGCUUGGGUACUCGAGUGGCGAACGGGUGAGUAACACGUGGGUGAUCUGCCCUGCACUUCGGGAUAAGCCUGGGAAACUGGGUCUAAUACCGGAUAGGACCACUUCUUGGAUGUUGUGGUGGAAAGUUUUUUCGGUGUGGGAUGAGCUCGCGGCCUAUCAGCUUGUUGGUGGGGUAAUGGCCUACCAAGGCGUCGACGGGUAGCCGGCCUGAGAGGGUGUACGGCCACAUUGGGACUGAGAUACGGCCCAGACUCCUACGGGAGGCAGCAGUGGGGAAUAUUGCACAAUGGGCGCAAGCCUGAUGCAGCGACGCCGCGUGGGGGAUGACGGCCUUCGGGUUGUAAACUCCUUUCGCUAGGGACGAAGCGUUUUGUGACAGUACCUGGAGAAGAAGCACCGGCUAACUACGUG